AAAGGUUAGCCAUCACUGGCCUAGAGGAUCACCAGUUCGGAUGAAAUCCUGUCCCACCUGCUGUCAGGCUGUAUUCUCCUCCUCCUCGAAUGACCAUAAAGCCCCUGUGCAUCUUAAGCAUCUCUUUAUUCAGUGCUAAUAAGAAUAAAAUCAAUUUACCAUUCCUUUUUCCUGUUGCUUAUCACAAACAGUGGCUUAGUAGAAGUCUCUUUUUAGACAGUUUGUGAAUAGAGCUGGUUAUUUACCAUAUCCAAAGGGAUUCCAUGCUAUACAAGUCUCUUUACUAAAUAGUGUCAUAAAUAACUAAGCAAUGAGCUGCCUCCGACAUCGCAUCCACAGGUAAUCCCUUUUCUGUUUUCAUGUUUGCACUUUCUGAGCUUCUCACAAAUCUGAUUUCUCCGGUGGAUAUUAAGGUGGCCAUGCAGAGGUUGCAAGAGAAAUGGUUCUUCCUGCUAAUUAAAUCAUUUCAACCUGAGGGCUAACCAUAUUAGACAGAAACAAUAUGAAUUUUCUUGAGAAUGCAAUCUACAGUCUCGCUACUAAUGUCCGGAUUUAUCCUUCAUAAUCAUCUUGACAGCUGAGACAAAGUUGUGGAAGAUUGAAGAGCUGACGUCUGGCACUUCUGGAAGGUUUCAAAUUGGGGAAGGUUGAGUUUGAACCACCUGUGAAGCAAGGUUACCAUCUUUAUUGAGCUGCAAAAUGCCUGCAUGUUGAAACUGACAGUCACCAGAGCUGGAAAAUACAGUAGCAUAACAUUGCCAUCAUUCUUCAAGAUGUAUGGAUUCUUUCAUGAGACUGUUUGAUAUGAAUAUUGAGGAAAAAAAGGCAGCUAUUGUGUAACCACCAGUCUCAAAUACAUGAAUGAAUACA
Long non-coding RNA from Pantherophis guttatus, 870 nucleotides. RefSeq lists it as uncharacterized. The record is from RefSeq and is a predicted model, not a curated record. Lineage: Eukaryota; Metazoa; Chordata; Lepidosauria; Squamata; Colubridae.